CAAAGUCAUUUUUAAGCUCAGCGAUUUUUAACCGGUGUAUUGCAAGAAUUUUUAAACCAUGCAAUACCUGACUAUUUAGUCAGAGGCACUGACCUCUUGUCUCUCAGAUUGUCAAA
Myotis brandtii (Brandt's bat) is the source of this 116-nucleotide long non-coding RNA. RefSeq lists it as uncharacterized. The record is from RefSeq and is a predicted model, not a curated record. The transcript is spliced from 3 exons. Lineage: Eukaryota; Metazoa; Chordata; Mammalia; Chiroptera; Vespertilionidae.